GUGUGCCAUUUCAGCAACACAUAUACUAAACUUGGAAUGAUAGAGAGAAGAUUAAUAUGGCCCCUGUGCAAGAAUGACAUACAAAUUCAUGAAGUGUUCCAUAUUUUU
Small nuclear RNA from Sarcophilus harrisii (Tasmanian devil), 108 nucleotides. NCBI's taxonomy places the organism in Eukaryota, Metazoa, Chordata, Mammalia, Dasyuromorphia, Dasyuridae. The record is from Ensembl.